CUACUUGACCUAGCGGCGGACGGGUGAGUAAUGCUUAGGAAUCUGCCUAUUAGUGGGGGACAACAUCUCGAAAGGGAUGCUAAUACCGCAUACGUCCUACGGGAGAAAGCAGGGGACCUUCGGGCCUUGCGCUAAUAGAUGAGCCUAAGUCGGAUUAGCUAGUUGGUGGGGUAAAGGCCUACCAAGGCGACGAUCUGUAGCGGGUCUGAGAGGAUGAUCCGCCACACUGGGACUGAGACACGGCCCAGACUCCUACGGGAGGCAGCAGUGGGGAAUAUUGGACAAUGGGGGGAACCCUGAUCCAGCCAUGCCGCGUGUGUGAAGAAGGCCUUUUGGUUGUAAAGCACUUUAAGCGAGGAGGAGGCUACCGAGAUUAAUACUCUUGGAUAGUGGACGUUACUCGCAGAAUAAGCACCGGCUAACUCUGUGCCAGCAGCCGCGGUAAUACAGAGGGUGCAAGCGUUAAUCGGAUUUACUGGGCGUAAAGCGCGCGUAGGUGGCCAAUUAAGUCAAAUGUGAAAUCCCCGAGCUUAACUUGGGAAUUGCAUUCGAUACUGGUUGGCUAGAGUAUGGGAGAGGAUGGUAGAAUUCCAGGUGUAGCGGUGAAAUGCGUAGAGAUCUGGAGGAAUACCGAUGGCGAAGGCAGCCAUCUGGCCUAAUACUGACACUGAGGUGCGAAAGCAUGGGGAGCAAACAGGAUUAGAUACCCUGGUAGUCCAUGCCGUAAACGAUGUCUACUAGCCGUUGGGGUCUUUGAGACUUUAGUGGCGCAGCUAACGCGAUAAGUAGACCGCCUGGGG
This 800-nucleotide ribosomal RNA is filed under the name uncultured bacterium. RNAcentral's name for it is "bacterial SSU rRNA". It matches the Rfam family "Bacterial small subunit ribosomal RNA", at positions 83 to 878 of the family's 1533-position model. The record is from RNAcentral.